Molecule: long non-coding RNA, 148 nt
Organism: Pecten maximus
Lineage: Eukaryota; Metazoa; Mollusca; Bivalvia; Pectinida; Pectinidae
Exons: 2
Source: RefSeq, a predicted model, not a curated record
AUAUUGGUCCAGACCUACAGUAACAUCCCCACAGUCUACAUCUACCCCUAAUAUUGGUCCAGGUCUACAGUAACAUCCCCACAGUCUACAUCUACCCCUAAUAUUGGUCCAGGUCUACAGUAACAUCCCCACAGUCUACAUCUACCCC